RNAcentral lists this long non-coding RNA (1134 nucleotides) under Macaca fascicularis (crab-eating macaque). RNAcentral describes it as "lncRNA (ENSMFAG00000064130.1)". Lineage: Eukaryota; Metazoa; Chordata; Mammalia; Primates; Cercopithecidae. The record is from RNAcentral.
GUCAUAGGGAAAUUAUGAAAUUUAAAACCUGAGAGACUUAUUUUAGUUUUAUAGCUAAUUAAAUACACUUCUUUGUUCUUUAAAUAUUUUCUCAUUCAGACUUUAGAUACCUUUGUUGUUUUCUUAACGAAACAAUAGACCCUUGCUUUUAUACUUUUUUUUUUUUUUUAACUCCUCUGGCUGGUUUUCUCCCAACUAGCCAUUUUAAGUGGAUACUUCUUAGAUGCUUAGAUUUCUGACAUUUUCAUCUUCCAAAUCAGAAAGCACCAACAAACUACAAUCGGUUUCACCUGUAAUCAAGCAACAGAAGGAAAUGAGAUAUUAUUUCACUAUUAUUACUUUGUGACUUUUAAAGUCUUAAUGUUCAACUUUUGAAUAGUCUUUUUUUUUUUUCCAAUUAAAAUUGCUCUGGGUUUAGAUGGACAAUGAUCUGGGAAAUCCGAGGGACUCGAUUUAGACCAGAACAGCUCGUGGAAGAGAAAACACAGCAAACAAAGUGCACUGGAAGCACCGUUUAACUUCGUCAGGUUCAUGCUCCUUUCAUACAGAGAUGUCUGACUAUCUUCUGUGAAUCAUCACAUGAGAACUUGCAUAGAAAAUCUGUCCGGGGAUAGGGACAGUGUGGGAACGUGGCUGAGGCUGGUUGGACAAUGGGACUGAGAGGUUACAUGCAUUGUCUGAGGAGCCUAAACAAACACCCGGGAGAACAGAGGUUAGCUCCCAGGGCUGUCUACCUUCCUGCUCUAAUCUUCACAAUGGUGCCAUUCUUCACCUUUCCUUUCUCUCUUGAACAAUCACUGGCUUAAAUUGUACCUAUUCCAGCAAGACAGGUUUGCAGGUUUCAUAAGCCUUCAUGACAGUAAGUACAAAAUUGUCUUAGAUAAUGAGAUAUUUAAAUAAAGAAUUUGACAAACCAGUGUAGGAGAGCGUGAGUUUGGAUGAAUGUGGAACAGCCUCUGCAACCUUGGAUAUAGAACUGAGUUUUUUCCCUUGUCUUCAUCUUCUCAGAAACUCCUGAAAGGUCUGGUUAUUUAGCUGAAUGCUCUGUGUUUAAGGGGCAGUGGAAGCCAUUUUCCUUGAAACCUCCCUUGGAAACUAAAGGUUAAGAAGCUCCUUGAGCAGCCUGGAUUAUGG